UACGGGGGGGGCAAGCGUUGUUCGGAAUUACUGGGCGUAAAGGGCGCGUAGGCGGUUCGCUAAGUCGGAUGUGAAAACUCUGGGCUCAACCCAGAGCCUGCAUCCGAAACUGGCGGGCUAGAGUUCUGGAGGGGGUAGCGGAAUUCCUGGUGUAGCGGUGAAAUGCGCAGAUAUCAGGAGGAACACCGGUGGCGAAGGCGGGUCUCUGGGCCGAAACUGACGCUGAGGAGCGAAAGCGUGGGGAGCGAACAGG
RNAcentral lists this ribosomal RNA (253 nucleotides) under uncultured bacterium. RNAcentral's name for it is "partial 16S ribosomal RNA". It matches the Rfam family "Bacterial small subunit ribosomal RNA", at positions 524 to 776 of the family's 1533-position model. The record is from RNAcentral.